This 485-nucleotide unclassified non-coding RNA is filed under the name Hevea brasiliensis (rubber tree). The record is from RNAcentral. Lineage: Eukaryota; Viridiplantae; Streptophyta; Magnoliopsida; Malpighiales; Euphorbiaceae.
GUAACUAGGUGGUAGACGGACCAUCCUGUAAUGUAAAUCAACCGACGAGCUUGAGUGAUUGCAUCAAAUAUAUCCUGCCAGCACUGUCCAUGCUGAUACUGCACUCUAUUUUCAAGCCACAAAUUCGGGAGGCUGCCUUCGGGAACAUGAGCAUCCUGAUAAAGUGUUACUUUGCCACCUCUUCUUAGAGGGAAGUAAGUCCCGGGCACGCCCUGAUACUCGUGAUCUCCCCCCACACCACCAUGAUAAAGGGGUACCCUCUCCAUUGGAGUGAAUUGAAUUGAUAGAGUAAGUACGGCUCCUUCCUUACACGGCUUCCCACUACUAUUAAGAACAGGAAAUGUUCCCUCAAUCAUUGCACCAGAACAUAGCUGCUCUACAGAAAUUCCCACAGCACCAAUAAUUUGUGAUCCUACAACAUCAUUAUCUUUAACAACAAAAUGCACUUCUGAUGCAUAAUGUGCCACUGGAACAUAAAAAUGCUG